AGCGAACGCUGGCGGCAGGCCUAACACAUGCAAGUCGAACGAACCUUUCGGGGUUAGUGGCGGACGGGUGAGUAACACGUGGGAACGUGCCUUUAGGUUCGGAAUAACUCAGGGAAACUUGUGCUAAUACCGAAUGUGCCCUUCGGGGGAAAGAUUUAUCGCCUUUAGAGCGGCCCGCGUCUGAUUAGCUAGUUGGUUGAGGUAAUGGCUCACCAAGGCGACGAUCAGUAGCUGGUCUGAGAGGAUGAUCAGCCACAUUGGGACUGAGACACGGCCCAAACUCCUACGGGAGGCAGCAGUGGGGAAUCUUGCGCAAUGGGAGAAAGCCUGACGCAGCCAUGCCGCGUGAAUGAUGAAGGUCUUAGGAUUGUAAAAUUCUUUCACCGGGGACGAUAAUGACGGUACCCGGAGAAGAAGCCCCGGCUAACUUCGUG
RNAcentral lists this ribosomal RNA (434 nucleotides) under uncultured bacterium. Its description in RNAcentral is "partial 16S ribosomal RNA". It matches the Rfam family "Bacterial small subunit ribosomal RNA", at positions 29 to 507 of the family's 1533-position model. The record is from RNAcentral.